RNAcentral lists this ribosomal RNA (484 nucleotides) under uncultured bacterium. Its description in RNAcentral is "partial 16S ribosomal RNA". It matches the Rfam family "Bacterial small subunit ribosomal RNA", at positions 30 to 507 of the family's 1533-position model. The record is from RNAcentral.
AUUGGACGCUGGCGGCAGGCCUAACACAUGCAAGUCGAGCGGAUGAAGGGAGCUUGCUCCUGGAUUCAGCGGCGGACGGGUGAGUAAUGCCUAGGAAUCUGCCUGGUAGUGGGGGAUAACGUCCGGAAACGGGCGCUAAUACCGCAUACGUCCUGAGGGAGAAAGUGGGGGAUCUUCGGACCUCACGCUAUCAGAUGAGCCUAGGUCGGAUUAGCUAGUUGGUGGGGUAAAGGCCUACCAAGGCGACGAUCCGUAACUGGUCUGAGAGGAUGAUCAGUCACAACUGAAACUAGAACAGGUCCAGACUCCUACGGGAGGCAGCAGUGGGGAAUAUUGGACAAUGGGCGAAAGCCUGAUCCAGCCAUGCCGCGUGUGUGAAGAAGGUCUUCGGAUUGUAAAGCACUUUAAGUUGGGAGGAAGGGCAGUAAGUUAAUACCUUGCUGUUUUGACGUUACCAACAGAAUAAGCACCGGCUAACUUCGUG